Long non-coding RNA from Equus caballus (horse), 2146 nucleotides. The record is from Ensembl. Lineage: Eukaryota; Metazoa; Chordata; Mammalia; Perissodactyla; Equidae.
ACUCUGUAUCAGCGCUACCCAGUGCGGGUGUGGUCCACGGACUGGCAGCAUCAGCAUCACCUGAGAGCUUGUUAGAAAUGUAAAUUCUUAGACUCCUCCCCAGACCUACUGAAUCAGAAUCAGCAGGGUGCAGGCCAGAAACAGAUGUUUCAGAAACUCUCUGGGUGAUUCUGAUGCACUGUAGUGUUUGAGAAGAACUACUUUAAAGUUUGCAGUUACUCCCAUGGACAUUGUAAGAGUUUUACCUCCAUCUUAUGAAGUAGAGAUGUUUUGAUCCAUUCUACAACGGAAUAAGAGAAGGCACAGAGAAUAUAAGGUGCUAGCGGAGCUGAGACUGUGAACAUCAAUCAGCAGGACGCAUAGCUGAGCCCCCAGGAUCCCUGACACCAGCAUAAUUUACAGGCAAGAUUCUGCAGCUGUCAGAAUAUCUGGUGCUUGAAGCGGCGUUCCAUGACUUUUCGCUGAUUGGCAAGUCUCCUCGAGAUGCCUUGGGAUUUUGUUACCAUCUGGCAUUGUUCCAUAUCCCUUGUCUUCUGAGUGUUUUAUGAUGAUUAACUGGUUAAACUUCAGAAAAGCUGCGUAGGGUAGACAGGGGCAAGAGGCAAUCGCUUCCUUUCAAGCUCGAGAUGAGGAACUGCUCAUGCAUUGGGAUGGUAGAUGACUCAUACAAGAGCAUAAUGUCACAGAUUCUCGUACCAGAUCAUAGGUUCAUUUAUUAGUUGAUAUUAUUGAACAAUUUUGUGCGCUGGGAACCAAGCUAAAUACUGCGCUUAGAGGAAUAAGACGAAAGACUGCCCUUGUGGAGGUCCCAGACUUAUAGAGGAGAAACAUAUACGCGCAAAAUGUUGGAGGAGAGAAGCAUAUAAAAAGCACAGUAAAAAUACCUGGCAGCUUGCAAGACAGGAUUCAAGGAGGCAACAUCUGUCUUUAGUUUUCAAACAUGAGUGUGAAUUUUCCCUAAUGCAUGUUUGUGUAAGAUAGGAAAGGGAGGAGGAGAAGCAAUUUCUGGGGUCUAGAAUGUUUAGGAAACACUGUGCAAAAAAGCACAGAGACAUAACGUAGCACUUGUUCACGUCUGUACACUCCUUGGACCAAAAAGUGGGCUUUGUAGCUGGGGCUAACAAUUAUGAUUUGAAUUUUUGGAACCAUGAGAGCUAGACCGGAGUCAUCUUAAAGCAUUUAAGGAAUGAGAGGUCAAUAAAUAAAUAUGGCAAUUUACUAAAAAUGGUUAUGUCACCUCUAAAAGACAUAAGGAACUUUUAGCUGAAAAACUUAUCCUGAACAAAGAGAAAAAUGAAUUGAGAAAACUCACAGCUAAGAGGCAAAGAACCAGAGCGUCUAGAAUUGGGCCAUAUUAGGCUUCUGCUGUUUAGGCAAAACUGUGUGGGGAAAGUCCUUUGAACAUUUUGAAGAUUAAAAGUGAAAUUGGAGAUGACCGAGUACUCCUCAAUCCUCGGCUCCUUUCUGCAAGCACGCUCAACUUGCUCUGGCCUAGAAACAAUCAAACCUACAACUCAAAUCUAGUCCUUAUUUGUAGCAGAUUAACUUUGUACUUUCACUGCUCAAUUCCUAAUCUCAGUAUUCUAUGCCUUCUUCCUCUACUCAUUUUUGCCUUAACCCAUCGUUAAUCGAGCCAGUUUCCCAUCUCCAUAUUUCUGCUCCCUGUCCCCAACACUCGUGUACAUUGUGUCAGUGAUCCAUUGUCUUGUAAUCAACAGCCCCAAACUUGAUAAAAUAAAAUAAAAACAAUUAUUUAUUACAAUUCUGUGGGUCAGGAAUUGGGGCAGGGCUCAGCAAGGUAGCACUUUUGUCCUCCAUGAAGCUUACAUGGGUCACUCAAGUGGCUACAAUUUGCUAAGAGCUCAGAUGGGACUGGAACAGCCAAGAUGGACUCUCCUCAUUCAGGAGCUCCCUUCGGGUGUUCUCUAAUCAUUCGCUAGUUUGGUUUGGACUUCAUUAGAGCGUGGAGGCUGGGCUCUGAAAGACAAGAAGCAGAAGCUGCCUGUUCUAUUAGGGCCUUGAUUUGGAUGUCCCAGAAUGUCACUUUCAUUGCAUUCUAUUGGCCAAAGGCACAAAACUGUAGCCUCUUCUUGAUAUGAGUGGCAUUUGCUUAUAAGGAUGGGGGAAACUGAUAACUAUCUGGAAG